UACGAAGGGGGCUAGCGUUGUUCGGAAUCACUGGGCGUAAAGCGCACGUAGGCGGGUCGUUAAGUCAGGGGUGAAAUCCCGAGGCUCAACCUCGGAACUGCCUUUGAUACUGGCGACCUUUGAGUCCGGGAGAGGUGAGUGGAACUCCGAGUGUAGAGGUGAAAUUCGUAGAUAUUCGGAAGAACACCGGUGGCGAAGGCGGCAUCCUGGACCGGCAUUGACGCUGAGGCGCGAAAGCCAGGGGAGCAAACGGG
Molecule: ribosomal RNA, 254 nt
Filed under: uncultured bacterium
Lineage: Bacteria
Description: partial 16S ribosomal RNA
Rfam family: Bacterial small subunit ribosomal RNA
Source: RNAcentral